This 464-nucleotide ribosomal RNA is filed under the name uncultured bacterium. RNAcentral's name for it is "partial 16S ribosomal RNA". It matches the Rfam family "Bacterial small subunit ribosomal RNA", at positions 339 to 795 of the family's 1533-position model. The record is from RNAcentral.
CUACGGGUUGCUGCAGUGGGGAAUAUUGCACAAUGGGCGCAAGCCUGAUGCAGCCAUACCGCGUGUGUGAAGAAGGCCUUAGGGUUGUAAAGCACUUUCAGUAGGGAGGAAAGGUUAGUCGCUAAUAUCGGCUAACUGUGACGUUACCUACAGAAGAAGCACCGGCUAAUUCCGUGCCAGCAGCCGCGGUAAUACGGAAGGUGCGAGCGUUAAUCGGAAUUACUGGGCGUAAAGCGCGCGUAGGUGGAUUGGUCAGUCAGAUGUGAAAGCCCCGGGCUCAACCUGGGAACUGCACCUGAUACUGCCAGUCUAGAGUACGGUAGAGGGCAGUGGAAUUUCCUGUGUAGCGGUGACAUGCGUAGAUAUAGGAAGGAACACCAGUGGCGAAGGCGACUGCCUGGACCGAUACUGACACUGAGGUGCGAAAGCGUGGGUAGCAAACAGGAUUAGAUACCCCCGUAGUC